This 583-nucleotide ribosomal RNA is filed under the name uncultured Glomus. Its description in RNAcentral is "SSU rRNA". It matches the Rfam family "Eukaryotic small subunit ribosomal RNA", at positions 477 to 1069 of the family's 1831-position model. Lineage: Eukaryota; Fungi; Glomeromycota; Glomeromycetes; Glomerales; Glomeraceae. The record is from RNAcentral.
CAAUACGGGGUCCUUUGGGUCUCGUAAUUGGAAUGAGUACAAUUUAAAUCUCUUAACGAGGAACAAUUGGAGGGCAAGUCUGGUGCCAGCAGCCGCGGUAAUUCCAGCUCCAAUAGCGUAUAUUAAAGUUGUUGCAGUUAAAAAGCUCGUAGUUGAAUUUCGGGGUCGGUAGGUUGGUCAUGCCAUCGGUAUGCACUGGUCUCACCGAUUCCUCCCUCUUGUAGAAGCGUAAUGCCAUUAAUUUGGUGUUGCGGGGAAACAGGACUGUUACUUUGAAAAAAUUAGAGUGUUUAAAGCAGGCUAACGCCUGAAUACAUUAGCAUGGAAUAAUGAAAUAGGACGUCGAUCCUAUUUUGUUGGUUUCUAGGGUUGACGUAAUGAUUAAUAGGGAUAGUUGGGGGCAUUAGUAUUCAAUUGUCAGAGGUGAAAUUCUUGGAUUUAUUGAAGACUAACUACUGCGAAAGCAUUUGCCAAGGAUGUUUUCAUUAAUCAAGAACGAAAGUUAGGNGAUCGAAGACGAUCAGAUACCGUCGUAGUCCUUAACCAUAAACUAUGCCGACUAGGGAUCGGAAUGAAUGUUAAU